AACGCACAUUGCGCCCCUUGGUAUUCCGAGGGGCAUGCCUGUUCGAGCGUCAUUACAACCCUCAAGCAUUGCUUGGUAUUGGGCUCCGCUGCUCACCCAGCGGGCCUUAAAAUCAGUGGCGGUUCCGUCGAGGCCCUGAGUGUAGUAAAUAUCCUCGUUAUAGGGACUCGGUGGACGCUGGCCAUCAACCCCCAACUUUCUAAGUUUGACCUCGGAUCAGGUAGGGAUGCCCGCUGAACUUAA
This 243-nucleotide unclassified non-coding RNA is filed under the name uncultured fungus. Its description in RNAcentral is "sequence contains ITS2". The stretch from base 1 to 52 matches the Rfam family "5.8S ribosomal RNA", at positions 103 to 154 of the family's 154-position model. The record is from RNAcentral. Lineage: Eukaryota; Fungi.